RNAcentral lists this long non-coding RNA (786 nucleotides) under Olea europaea subsp. europaea. Lineage: Eukaryota; Viridiplantae; Streptophyta; Magnoliopsida; Lamiales; Oleaceae. The record is from RNAcentral.
GAUAUUCUAUUCUCAAUGCUAAGGUAUUUAUGGCAUUCAAAAUUUAAGCUAAAAAUUGGCUUUUGAUGUAUUCAGAAUCUUUAAUCUGGAGCUUUUAGCUAUUACUCGGAUUUUUUUGUUUAGCAAACUUAUAAGAGUUUCGAGUUUAUUUCCCUGACAUUUUACUACCAUUUGAUGUAGGAUUGGAAGAGGAAGUGGACAAGUUGUGAAUAGUGAUAAAGGGGUGGUUUACACUCACAAGGACCUACCUUUGCAGGGUUGAGCCUGCACAACCCAAGUAUUAUGCAUUGGUUUUGUAUGACACUAGCAUUUGAUGAAGCCGUCUGGUCUAAUUAAUUGUCUGCAAAUUAAAAGUCUGGGAAUGGAUCAAUGGAUCGGUGGUUUUGGUUUCAAUCAGAGAUUCAAUAUCAAAUUUCAUUCCCACCCAAUGUACUAUGUAAUAGGGCAGUUGGGCAUUUCAUUGGCAUCUCAAAUUUUGAGGAUUCUGAUUAAAUCUCUUUGGAGGGAAUGACCUUAAUAAUUUUUCACUUAUAAGCCUCUUCUUUAUUUUGCUUACGACUGCUAGCUUGAUAUGCUCGAUUGCUUGGCACGAGUGACAUUGUUUUAAAGUGGUUUGACAUUCAAGAUAAAUUUACAUGUUAAACGUUGACACUGCUUGACAUGGCGUCAAGAUAUCCUAUAAUUUUUCCAAGCACAACAAAAGUUUUAGUAUUUUCUUGAAGUAUGUUAACCGUUUAUACGAAGUUUCGGUUCUAUUAUUUUGAUGGUCAUGAAUGAAGACGUCUU